CACGCGGUAAACGAUGAGUGCUAGGUGUAGGGGGUAUCGACCCCUCCUGUGCCGGAGUUAACACAAUAAGCACUCCGCCUGGGGAGUACGGCCGCAAGGUUGAAACUCAAAGGAAUUGACGGGGGCCCGCACAAGCAGCGGAGCAUGUGGUUUAAUUCGAAGCAACGCGAAGAACCUUACCAGGUCUUGACAUUGAAGUAAAGCUACAGAGAUGUAGUGUGCCGCAAGGCGAUUGAAAACAGGUGG
RNAcentral lists this ribosomal RNA (246 nucleotides) under uncultured Bacillota bacterium. Its description in RNAcentral is "uncultured Firmicutes bacterium partial 16S ribosomal RNA". It matches the Rfam family "Bacterial small subunit ribosomal RNA", at positions 796 to 1041 of the family's 1533-position model. Lineage: Bacteria; Bacillati; Bacillota. The record is from RNAcentral.